This 246-nucleotide non-coding RNA is filed under the name Kurthia sp. RNAcentral's name for it is "T-box sequence". It matches the Rfam family "T-box leader". Rfam says of the family: Uncharged tRNA acts as the effector for transcription antitermination of genes in the T-box leader family. T-boxes are found upstream of many aminoacyl-tRNA synthetase genes and some amino acid biosynthetic genes usually in Gram-positive bacteria. The record is from RNAcentral. Lineage: Bacteria; Bacillati; Bacillota; Bacilli; Caryophanales; Caryophanaceae.
AUAAAGGCGAUGAAAAGAAGAGUAAAUUUUGUAUAAAUCUACAGAGACCUCUAUUAGCUGAAAAAGAGGGUUUUAUACUUUAUUGAACCAAGUCUUGGAGCUGUGUAUCGGAUUUAACAUGAUGGUACAACGGAUUCUCACGUUACUGAGAUAGAGUAUCACUAUUUUUUAGUCGUACUUGAUAAGAUUCCUAUAGUGAUAUAUGGAAUAAACUGAGGUGGCACCGUGACUAAGUUCACCCUCAAG